Molecule: long non-coding RNA, 690 nt
Filed under: Anas zonorhyncha (Eastern spot-billed duck)
Lineage: Eukaryota; Metazoa; Chordata; Aves; Anseriformes; Anatidae
Description: lncRNA (ENSAZOG00000007784.1)
Source: RNAcentral
AUGUACUUGGGGUUUUCUGUUCUCUCUCAUAUUCCCUUUGAUACAUAUAUUCUCAUGCUACCUAAGUGCUGCUUGCCUCGCCAGAGGCUGCCCAGAAGCACAUAUGCUUGGCCAAAAGCCUUGUGUGGCUGCAUGUUUGGAGAAAGAUCCUUUGGAAAGGGGAGGAUGAGGAAGCAGCAAUGCCACAGUUGUUCUUGGCACACCACAAUCCAGCCAGUAUCAAGGGCCAGGAUGCUUUUUUUUUUUCUUCUUUUUUUCUUUUUUACCUCCUCUCUUCUCUCCAGCGAACAUCCUGGGAAGCUUUCAAGGGAGGAUUCUGAGACAGAGUGGCCGGGACAGCAUGCAGGUGGUACCGAUGCACAUGGACGAGGUAGUUCCUACCCAGGGACUGUCUCCAUGUCUGCAGCCCAGCAGAGACAGCACUGCCUCAAUCAUGCCUGGAUGUUCACACUCCUUCGGGAAGUCCUGCAGUCUUCAGAAAUGAUUGGUGCGCCUGCCCUUUCAUAUGGAGAAUUAACUGUUCUCAGCUGCAUGGAAAUCCGCAUGUCCUUGAGGCUGUUGUACUUCACUGAGUGGAGGCAAAACCCAGCUGAUUUUCCACACCUCCCCCAGACCUACUGGCUGACCAGCAGCAGCAGCAGCAGCCUGCCUGUGGCGGUGCCUCUGGGCACGAGGAUGUUGGUGGAGUAA